CGUGCGGCAGCUAACACAUGCAGUCGAACGGCAGCACAGGGGAGCUUGCUCCCUGGGUGGCGAGUGGCGGACGGGUGAGGAAUACGUCGGAAUCUGCCUAUUUGUGGGGGAUAACGUAGGGAAACUUACGCUAAUACCGCAUACGACCUACGGGUGAAAGCGGAGGACCUUCGGGCUUCGCGCAGAUAGAUGAGCCGACGUCGGAUUAGCUAGUUGGCGGGGUAAAGGCCCACCAAGGCGACGAUCCGUAGCUGGUCUGAGAGGAUGAUCAGCCACACUGGAACUGAGACACGGUCCAGACUCCUACGGGAGGCAGCAGUGGGGAAUAUUGGACAAUGGGCGCAAGCCUGAUCCAGCCAUGCCGCGUGUGUGAAGAAGGCCUUCGGGUUGUAAAGCACUUUUGUCCGGAAAGAAAAGCACCGGGUUAAUACCCUGGUGUCAUGACGGUACCGGAAGAAUAAGCACCGGCUAACUUCGUGCCAGCAGCCGCGGUAAUACGAAGGGUGCAAGCGUUACUCGGAAUUACUGGGCGUAAAGCGUGCGUAGGCGGUUUGUUAAGUCUGAUGUGAAAGCCCUGGGCUCAACCUGGGAAUGGCAUUGGAUACUGGCAACCUAGAAUGUGGUAGAGGGUGGCGGAAUUCCCGGUGUAGCAGUGAAAUGCGUAGAUAUCGGGAGGAACAUCCGUGGCGAAGGCGGCCACCUGGACCAACAUUGACGCUGAGGCACGAAAGCGUGGGGAGCAAACAGGAUUAGAUACCCUGGUAGUCCACGCCCUAAACGAUGCGAACUGGAUGUUGGGCUCAAUUGAGAGCUCAGUAUCGAAGCUAACGCGUUAAGUUCGCCGCCUGGGAAGUACGGUCGCAAGACUGAAACUCAAAGGAAUUGACGGGGGCCCGCACAAGCGGUGGAGUAUGUGGUUUAAUUCGAUGCAACGCGAAGAACCUUACCUGGGCCUUGACAUGUCCGGAACCCUUGAGAGAUCGAGGGGUGCCUUCGGGAACCGAACACAGUGCUGCAUGCUGUCGUCAGCUCGUGUCGUGAGAUGUGGGUUAAGUCCCGCAACGAGCCGCAACCCUUGUCCUUAGUGCCAGCACGUAAUGGUGGGA
This 1106-nucleotide ribosomal RNA is filed under the name Lysobacter sp. RNAcentral describes it as "bacterial SSU rRNA". It matches the Rfam family "Bacterial small subunit ribosomal RNA", at positions 36 to 1136 of the family's 1533-position model. The record is from RNAcentral. Lineage: Bacteria; Pseudomonadati; Pseudomonadota; Gammaproteobacteria; Lysobacterales; Lysobacteraceae.